ACAAGGUGUUAACAUAAGUAACAUGAGGGAUCGAAUCAGGCAAAAUAAAUGCUUAUUAGUGCUCUAGAGCCCAGUUGGUCCAGUACACGGGGAAAAUGGUGGUGAUGAUAUGGCUCACAGGAGCGACUUCAAGAGAAAAGUCGGUUAAAAAGUGCUGAAGUGUCACACAUCGUUGCAUUACGACGAGACCUGCUAUACUACGGCAUUCAUAUUGCAGUAGAUGCUGGACAACUUGCCGACCACACGAAGUGGUGGUCCGAAUAUACAAGUACACAGGCCAUAAAUUCAGGCCCGAGAGAGCCACCCAACUUGUGUGAGUCACCGGUGAAGGUGAAGUCACCAAGCUAAAGCCAUCAGAAAAGCGGAGCACAUUUCAGAAAGUCUCUGAACAUCUGAUGUGGAGCCAGACACCCUGUAGAUGCCAACCUCAUUUAUGCCUCUUCUUUCAACCUCUCGCACGCAGCAGGUUAUUACGAAUGGCACUCUGCUUUUCUCCUUUCUGAAAGUACAAAA
This is a long non-coding RNA of Ornithodoros turicata, 513 nucleotides long. RefSeq lists it as uncharacterized. NCBI's taxonomy places the organism in Eukaryota, Metazoa, Arthropoda, Arachnida, Ixodida, Argasidae. The record is from RefSeq and is a predicted model, not a curated record. The transcript has 4 exons.